RNAcentral lists this ribosomal RNA (253 nucleotides) under uncultured bacterium. RNAcentral describes it as "partial 16S ribosomal RNA". It matches the Rfam family "Bacterial small subunit ribosomal RNA", at positions 524 to 776 of the family's 1533-position model. The record is from RNAcentral.
UACGUAGGGUGCGAGCGUUGCCCGGAUUUAUUGGGCGUAAAGGGCGCGCAGGCGGCUCGGCACGUCCGUUGUGAAAUCGCCCGGCUCAACUGGGCGGGGUCAGCGGAUACGGUCGAGCUUGAGCAAGCUAGGGGGCAAUGGAAUUCCCGGUGUAGUGGUGGAAUGCGUAGAUAUCGAGAGGAACACCAGUGGCGAAGGCGGUUGCCUGGAGCUUUGCUGACGCUGAGGCGCGAAAGCGUGGGGAGCGAUCCGG